CUUCAGUAUCUUCUUAUUUUUACACGUUUUUUGUGUAUUUACCUGCACACGUGGAUACACUCGAAGAUGCGGGAAUCUCUAUGAUACAGCAAGAAUGUAAUAUAGGUUAAGCAUCAAAGUUGAUAUGCUUCAACGUCAAGACGAGUAAAUUGGCACAAACAUGAAAGGAUAAUUCAAAGUCGCAAUCAAUAUUGCAUAUGAUACACUAUUGGAUAAUUUGGGAUUAUUUUUGUCAUAUAUAUGCCUACAUAUUAUGUGUAUAUUGAAUCAGCUAAUAAUUUUGUUAUUAGUUUGAAAUUAAUGCCACGUUAUAAAUCAAUAUACACUUCUGGUUUUAUAGAAAACUUUAUUUAUAUUAUUAUAUUAAACUUUUAUCCAACUGCUGGUUUCCACUAUAAUUAGUGUCAGUGCAUCAAUCGGUAAUGUUAAUUGAUAUUAAAGAUCUUACUAUAUUAUGAAAGUUACUAUAAUAUUACAGGCGAAUAAAAAGAAAAAAAUGAAACUGAUUGAUAAGUAAGUCUAUUAAGAUGGUAUAGUUGAAUUAAUUAAUAUUUAUUGUCUGGAAGUACCGAAUGAGGAAACAUAAGUAAACGCAACAUGUUGGUAAUGAGUAAAAAGACAAAUGACACAUCGUUUGAUGAUGUAUAUGAGCAGU
This is a long non-coding RNA of Bombus pascuorum, 655 nucleotides long. RefSeq lists it as uncharacterized. NCBI's taxonomy places the organism in Eukaryota, Metazoa, Arthropoda, Insecta, Hymenoptera, Apidae. The transcript has 3 exons. The record is from RefSeq and is a predicted model, not a curated record.